AUCAGGGAAAGCGAAGGCAGGAGCGUGAGGUGAACUGAAUUUCAGAGAAAAGGCUGAGCAAACAAUAUGGAAUAGACUGCAACAACUAACAGCCAUGAAGAAGAAACGAUUAAAGACCCACACGCCAAUGAAAAUUGGACUUUUAGGACAGUGAAGUGUCUGACACUGACCAUGUACCAGUGCCUGAGAACACUGGUAUGGAGGGGGAGAACGCACCUCUUUACUGCAUUUGUCGGAAACCAGACAUCAACUGCUUCAUGAUCCUUUGCCAUGAUAAAUUGGUCAGUUUACAACCAGGAGCCGUACACCUUAACCUCAGAGGCCAGGACAUCCAGGGGCAGUGUGAACACACACUUCUUUAAAUGGGAUGCAGGACUGACUAUAGAGGGCCACCCCCUCGCCAGACAACCAAGUGCUGUCCCUGUGCACGGCCAGUGUGAGAAGGACUCUCACUAAAGUCAACCCACACAAAGCUGCUGGACCAGACAAUAUACCCGGACGUGUGCUCGGAGCCUGUGCUGACCAGCUGACUGAUGUCCUAGCGGGCAUCUUUAACAUCUCCCUGAGUCAAGCUGUUGUGCCAAGUGCUUUAAAACCACCACCAUCUUACCUGUACCAAAGACAGCUACAGCCUCGCAGUUCGAAGACAAUGGACGAUGCGAUCUCAUUGGCACUCCACCUAGCCCUAUCACAACUGGAUCAAUGCAACGUCCACCUAAGAAUGCUGUUCACUGAUUUCAUCUUAGCAUUCAACACCAUCAUUGCCCAGCAGCUGAUCGGCAAGCUGGACCUGCUCAGACUUAACACCUCCACCUGCAACAGGAUCCUGGUCUUUCUUACUGAUGGACCCCAGACAGUACAGGUUGGAAACAUAAGAUCCAACACCAUCACACUGAGCACAGCCCCCCCCCCAGGGAUGUGUGCUGAGCCCGCUACUCUUCACGCUGCUGACCCACGACUGCACCUCCAGCUCCAACAUGUGAUGAGUCAAUGUUGUGAUUGUUUGUGAUUUAUGGUCCCCCUCUCUCCUAGCCUCCACCACCCAACAAACAGUCUGUGCUUCCAAGUGUUACUUAGUGUCUUUGUCUGAAAACUUAAUAAAUUGUUAACUGUUGACUCAGUUUUCUCCUGUUUUUCACUUAGAAGGUCAGGUAAGUAAAUUGUCUUUUGGUUGGAUUUUUUUUUUCUUUUUUAGGGACGCUUAGGAGUGUUUAGGUAUUUGUUGUUUGUUAUUUUUGGCAUUGCUCACUGCCGAUGUAAAUAAAUGGCUGCU
Long non-coding RNA from Oreochromis aureus, 1273 nucleotides. The record is from Ensembl. NCBI's taxonomy places the organism in Eukaryota, Metazoa, Chordata, Actinopteri, Cichliformes, Cichlidae.